CUGCUCCCGACUCUGCCCAGGUGGGAAGAUGUCCUCCGUUCCUGUGGGGCCCCGCCACUGUCCUUGUCACAUAGCAUUUAUGGGACUGGCACCUGGCUCCCAGGACGUGCGACACUCUGGAAGGUGAAUCUCCAUCACCCGCCCCUCUUCCCCGUGGCCACUGCGUCAGACACUGGCCUUUGGUUUUGGCAUUCCAAUCACAUCCUCUUACCCACAGUAGCUGAUGUGCUGUCUCCCGUGCGCCGUGAACAUCAUUCCUGUCUGCCCUCCCAUUCAUGCACGCAUUCAUUCAUUCAUUCUGGCCAAUCAGAGCACUCUGUUUUCUUGGCCAAUCAGAGCAUUCCAUUCUCCUGUCCACAAAGAUGAGUUUCAGAUGGGCAGGUGACAUCGCCAUGCCCCUGGAGCUUAAAUCUGAGACUUCUGUGGGAACACGGUGAGGAGCAGCAUGCACUCUUAAGCUGCAUGAAAGGUGUCAGCCUGGUGACUUCUACAACGUGCGCCCGGUGGCCUCACAAUGUACAGUAACCCAUCUCCCUUUGUAGGUGUGAAAAGCCGCCCUGUGUCCCGGGGCUGUCCCCAGACCAGGCCUAGUGCACCAUGGGCUGGUCCCUGCACAUCUCCAGAGCUCCCGGGGUCCAUGGCAGGCGCAGACACAAUCAUGGGCUGUGGACGGCACACGGAGCUGGUUCAGAGGCCGCAGUGCAUUCCUGCUCAGGCUGCUCCAAGAGGACACAGAGGAGUUAACUUAGAGCUCGUGUUGAUCCACUAUUGUACUUGGAGAAAAUCAUAUGGCCACGUGACAUGCAUGUUGGUGCCCGUUGUAGGUGAUGUGGUCUCAUCCUGACCAUCACAUGGCUCUUUAAAUCCUAAGAGACAUCGCAGGUACAGGCCCCAUCCUGGAGGACCCUGACAGCUCAGGGUAGCCUUAGAAGGCUCUUUCAGCCCAGCCAGCAGCUGUCCUUGGUGCUGACCAAAGCCUAACGCC
RNAcentral lists this long non-coding RNA (985 nucleotides) under Heterocephalus glaber (naked mole-rat). RNAcentral's name for it is "lncRNA (ENSHGLG00100052093.1)". The record is from RNAcentral. Lineage: Eukaryota; Metazoa; Chordata; Mammalia; Rodentia; Bathyergidae.